GACAGAGGGGGCAAGCGUUGCUCGGAAUCACUGGGCGUAAAGGGCGCGUAGGCGGGACAGCAAGUCAAUCGUGAAAUCCUCCGGCCCAACCGGAGAACGUCGGUUGAUACUGCUAUUCUUGAGGGGUGCAGAGGAGACUGGAAUUCCCGGUGUAGCGGUGAAAUGUGUAGAGAUCGGGAGGAACACCGGUGGCGAAGGCGGGUCUCUGGGCAUCUCCUGACGCUGAGGCGCGAAAGCGUGGGGAGCAAACGGG
This 253-nucleotide ribosomal RNA is filed under the name uncultured bacterium. RNAcentral describes it as "partial 16S ribosomal RNA". It matches the Rfam family "Bacterial small subunit ribosomal RNA", at positions 524 to 776 of the family's 1533-position model. The record is from RNAcentral.